GUGUGUGCUUUUGCUUUCAGCCAGAUAGUGGCAAUUGAGUGCACUCCGUAAAUGGCUAUCUGGAAAAACCAUUUAGCAGUUCAAGAAUGUGUCCUUCCCUUUAGCAUAUCUGCCAUUGUUUUCAGUAGGAGGAAAAAAAAAGUAUGCAUUACGAUUUAAAAUAGAUAAACUGCUGCCGAUUGCUAGAACAACUUCUGGGCCCUCUUUCCAGUUCUCCUUAAUGAAACUAUGCAAUUGCAAAUUUAGCCGCAGACCAAAAACAGCGUUAUGGACGGUCUUUUUCAAAUUACUGCCAAUUGUUCUACAGCACGGGACUAUAAAAACCUUGCAAUCCUAUUGCUAAUUUGCUCGUGGUAUUACUUCAUAGACAAAAUUUCACAGCUGAAAGAUAAAAGAUAAUUUGCAGACACAAGAGAAUCUAAGAUUUAAAGGCGCUGCUGCUUGCUCCCAAAGACUGCUAUUAAUUAAUGUUACUUUGUGGUCAUAGAUAAUCCUAAUUCCUUUUUUCCUGAUCUGGGGAACGCUUCUGCCAAUGAGUGAGCUUUUUACUGAAGUACUAAAAAUGUUCACAAAUUUUAACGUUUAUUACAACAAAAUUGAAGUUCGUAUGUGUUUUGAUUCCCAGCCGUAAAAGGCAAGAAAUAACUGUGUAAAAUGUAGUGCUAUAGAAAAAGAUGAUACCAAGAACUGCAUAAAAGAAACAUGGUCUCUAAAUAUUAAUAAUUGGGCUAUAAAUUGAAAAAAAAAACACAAUUUGGUCUUGGCUAAAGAUUUGUAAUAUCUGAACUAUUUAGCAAUGUGGCUCCAAGGUGAUAAUGAAAUAAUUUAAUAUUUUUCCCUGAAUCUAAGAAUGAAACAGAAAAAGUAAAAUUAAAACAA
This 879-nucleotide long non-coding RNA is filed under the name Homo sapiens (human). RNAcentral describes it as "non-protein coding lnc-ANK2-10:1". The record is from RNAcentral. Lineage: Eukaryota; Metazoa; Chordata; Mammalia; Primates; Hominidae.